Molecule: ribosomal RNA, 1521 nt
Filed under: uncultured bacterium
Lineage: Bacteria
Description: bacterial SSU rRNA
Rfam family: Bacterial small subunit ribosomal RNA
Source: RNAcentral
AGGGUUUGAUCCUGGCUCAGGACGAACGCUGGCGGCGUGCUUAACACAUGCAAGUCAAGGGGAAAUUAAGUCUUCGGAUUUAAGAUUAUACUGGCGAACGGGUGCGUAACGCGUGGGUGACCUGCCUUAAAGCAUGGGAUAACCUCUGGAAACGGGGGCUAAUACCGUAUAUAUCAUAAAGCUUCCUGGCUUUAUGAAGAAAGGUGCAACUGCAUCACUUUAAGAUGGGCCCGCGUCCCAUUAGGUAGUUGGUAGGGUAAUGGCCUACCAAGCCAUCGAUGGGUAGCUGAUCUGAGAGGAUGGUCAGCCACACUGGGACUGAGAUACGGCCCAGACUCCUACGGGAGGCAGCAGUGAGGAAUAUUGCGCAAUGGGGGCAACCCUGACGCAGCAACGCCGCGUGGGUGAUGAAGGUCUUAGGAUUGUAAAGCCCUGUCAGGUGGGAAGAGAGAUAGUGGCAGUGGAAAAGUCAUUAUGUAGGACGGUACCACCAGAGGAAGCUCCGGCUAACUCCGUGCCAGCAGCCGCGGUAAUACGGGGGGAGCGAGCGUUGUCCGGAAUCAUUGGGCGUAAAGGGCGUGUAGGCGGUCUUGUCAGUCAGUUGUGAAAUGUCACGGCUUAACCGUGGAGUUGCAAUUGAAACUUCAAGACUUGAGUGUCGUAGGGGAUGAUGGAAUUCCUGGUGUAGCGGUGAAAUGCGUAGAUAUCAGGAAGAACACCGGUGGCGAAGGCUGUCAUCUGGGCGAUCACUGACGCUGAGGCGCGAAAGCGUGGGUAGCAAACAGGAUUAGAUACCCUGGUAGUCCACGCUGUAAACGAUGGGCACUAGACGUCGGCCGCGCACGCAGAUCGUAAGCGAUCUGGGUGCAUGGUCGGUGUCGACGCAAACGCAUUAAGUGCCCCGCCUGGGGAGUACGAUCGCAAGGUUGAAACUCAAAGGAAUUGACGGGGCCCGCACAAGCGGUGGAGCAUGUGGUUUAAUUCGAUGCAACGCGAAGAACCUUACCGGGACUUGACAUUCAGUUGACGCGAGUAGAGAUAUUCGUUUCCUUCGGGACAAUUGAACAGGUGCUGCAUGGCUGUCGUCAGCUCGUGUCGUGAGAUGUUCGGUUAAGUCCGGCAACGAGCGCAACCCUUGUCCAUAGUUACCAUCAGGUAAUGCUGGGGACUCUAUGGAGACUGUUGGUGACAAACCAAAGGAAGGUGGGGAUGACGUCAAGUCCUCAUGGCCCUUACGUCCCGGGCCACACACGUGCUACAAUGGUCGGUACAGCGAGCAGCGAACUCGUGAGAGUAAGCGAAUCUCGAAAACCGAUCUCAGUUCGGAUUGCAGUCUGCAACUCGACUGCAUGAAGCUGGAAUCGCUAGUAAUCGCAGAUCAGCAUGCUGCGGUGAAUACGUUCCCGGGCCUUGUACACACCGCCCGUCACGCCAUGGAAGCCGGUAGCGCCCGAAGCCCCCGCACUAAGCGGGGUCGAAGGUGAGACUGGUGACUAGGGCGAAGUCGUAACAAGGUAGCCG